This 1621-nucleotide long non-coding RNA is filed under the name Pan troglodytes (chimpanzee). RNAcentral's name for it is "long non-coding RNA NONPTRT003783". The record is from RNAcentral. Lineage: Eukaryota; Metazoa; Chordata; Mammalia; Primates; Hominidae.
AGGAGGAGCACGCUGGCCGUGUGCUACAACAGUGAGUGAGGAGCCAGACCAGCUUGAGAGCUGGGGACGACUCAUACCAGGAGGCUACGGAGGAGCGGUGAGAAAUGGUCCAAUUUGAGAUGUUUUGAAGGUGGCAUUGACAGGCCUUGCUGGGCUUUGAAGAAUGAAUAGGAUUUUGAUAAAUGGGGAACCAGAAAGGUGGGCAUGAAGAAAAAGCCUGACAUGCUGGCUAGUAAUGAACCUGCCUGGCUCUGGAAGAAGCCAACCUGCCAAGAACUUCAUCAUGGGGAGCAGAGACAAUACAUCGGUGCCAGGAGCGCAGCCGCUGCUUUGUAUUUCAGACACCCCUUGCCUCCAAGGGCCCCCGCAGCUCAUUCAUUCUCACAGCCAUAAAGGGAGAGGCAGGAGGGGCAGGGAAGGCAAGAGAGCAGACGAUGCCUCCAAUUCUGCAUGGAGAGAAAUGAAGGGACAAAGUCACAGACACAUCUUUGCCAAAGUCACCCAGCAGGCCUUCUUCCUCCAUGGGGAACUGGAAAAGAAGGUAGAGGCACGUUCAGAACCUCCUAGGGGGCCCGGUGUAGGGCCGAAGCUGUCAGAAGGAACAAAGCCCGAGGAACAGCCCUCAGAAGGACCACAAAAUGACGUGUGGCCGGGAUGCCAAAGAGCAGCAGAUAAUAGAGAGCACCUGCCAGCCUUGUAGAGGAGGAGUGAUCAUUCACCAGUCCAUAAACAUCGAUUCCCGCUGCCGCCGCAGCCCUACCAGGACAGGCUGCGCAGAGGGCGCUUUCAUGUACCGUGUCUCUGCAAACGGUGAUGAUGAUCUUGAGUGGAGCCCAUUUUACAGGUGAAAACACUGGAGCCCUUGGAGUUGGACCCUUUUCCACGCGGUGCCUGUAACUGACUGAUGUAGUGAGCAAGAAUGUUGAGAAUUUCCUUAUUUGACCCACAAGGAUGCGGAGUUUCAGAGGAAAGCACAGAAGCCACUGAAAGGAUUUCUGCUUUUUGGAAAAGAGUAACCUGCCCAUGGGAUCCUCCAGCCAGUUAGUUACUCAGCAGGUACCUUGCACACAUCUGCCCUGAGCCCAGCACUGCGCUGGCUUCUACCACACACAAGAUCAUGAGACAGGGUCCUACCCUGGGAAUAGCCGGGCCAGCUGGACCAACACCACCAGGCUGGAGAGGUGGCUGCAGUGUGAGAUAGGACAAUGGCCAGAGCUGGAGUGUGUGGGUUAGAGACAGCCGUGGCUGACUCUGGCCUUGGGUCCAGGUAGACCCAGUUAAAGUUCCAGGUUCCCUCGUUUACCAGCCAGCAGGACCGCAGAAAACGACUUUUUCUCUGGUGCUCAUGUUUUAAAUGGGAAUUAAUGGUACCUACCACAUAGAGUCGUCGUCAGGAUUAAAUGAGGUUCGUGAAAAUAAACUUCCUAGCAUGGCGCCUUGCACACAACUAUAAAUGAAAGCCAUUAUGAGUAUUUAUGGCCUGCAGCCAUCCUUCCCCAGGUUACGGAGGCCAGCCGUGAGUCAGGAGCCUGUGGUGGAGAGAGGCAGGGAGGUCCUGCCACUGCCCGCACUGCCCCGGCCCCAGCCGGCACACAGAAGCUGCUCCUGGGCCUCCCCGAGC